RNAcentral lists this ribosomal RNA (383 nucleotides) under uncultured bacterium. Its description in RNAcentral is "bacterial SSU rRNA". It matches the Rfam family "Bacterial small subunit ribosomal RNA", at positions 417 to 793 of the family's 1533-position model. The record is from RNAcentral.
UUCGGGUUGUAAAGUACUUUCAGCAGUGAGGAAGGUGGGUAUGUUAAUAGCAUACUCAUUUGACGUUAGCUGCAGAAGAAGCACCGGCUAACUCCGUGCCAGCAGCCGCGGUAAUACGGAGGGUGCGAGCGUUAAUCGGAAUUACUGGGCGUAAAGCGCAUGCAGGUGGUUUGUUAAGUCAGAUGUGAAAGCCCGGGGCUCAACCUCGGAAUUGCAUUUGAAACUGGCAAACUAGAGUACUGUAGAGGGGGUAGAAUUUCAGGUGUAGCGGUGAAAUGCGUAGAGAUCUGAAGGAAUACCGGUGGCGAAGGCGGCCCCCUGGACAGAUACUGACACUCAGAUGCGAAAGCGUGGGGAGCAAACAGGAUUAGAUACCCUGGUAG